This 293-nucleotide ribosomal RNA is filed under the name uncultured soil bacterium. RNAcentral describes it as "partial 16S ribosomal RNA". It matches the Rfam family "Bacterial small subunit ribosomal RNA", at positions 26 to 334 of the family's 1533-position model. The record is from RNAcentral.
AGGACAAACGCUGGCGGAAUGUAUUAGGCAUGCAAGUCGUACGAACCUUCGGGUUAGUGGCGAACGGGUGAGUAACACGUGGGUAACCUGCCUCGUAGUGGGGAAUAACUCGCCGAAAGGCGAGCUAAUACCGCAUAACACCUCUGGUGAGAUUCCAGAUGGUAAAAGCUCCGGCGCUACGAGAGGGCCCGCGGUCGAUUAGCUAGUUGGUCGGGUAACGGCCUACCAAGGCGACGAUCGAUAGCUGGUCUGAGAGGAUGGUCAGCCACACGGGGAACUGAGAUACGGCCCCG